CCUACUUUCAGGGAAGCGAAGCGUGUAUAUAGUCAGUUGACCCAAGUAUCCUAUGAAGCAGACGAGAAGGAAACCUUACAAAGCAACCAAGAGGACAUAGUAUCAAUUCCCAAUACUAUAAGAAAUAGCAGCCCACCUUUGAGAAAAGGGAACAUGGAUGAGUUGGAUCACAAAGAUAAAGCUGAAACCUUUUCAAUUAAACAAAAUGAUAAACUCCCCAUUUCGAUUGACGGAGAGAGUGAGAAUGAGCUAUGUGAUAAAUCAACUCCUUUACAUCAAGCAGCUCAUAGUGAUGAUUCUGAAAAGGUUAUGGAACUCCUGGAACAGGGCUUGGAUCCUUGCAUCAAAGAUGAAAGGGGCCGUACUCCAUACAUGUUGGCACAUGAGAAGGAAGUCAGAAAUGCUUUUAGAAGGUUUAUGGCAUCAAACCCCGACAAAUGGGAUUGGCAUGCUGCAAAAGUGCCUAGUGCAUUGACCAAAGAAAUGGAAGAAUCACAAGCUGCAAAGCAGGUGAUUCUGAUACUUGUAGCGAUAAGUUUUAAAUUCUGAUCUAAACCGAAAAUGAUUACAUUUUAAUAUCCACAUCAUUCUCUUUACUUUGGUCACUAGCUGAUUUUAUGACGUGUAGUAAAAGAGAGUCUCCUUCGUAUCAGGUAAAACUGAUUUUUGAGUAAGUUUCCUGCUGGUUCCCAUUAGGCAUGAUGCAUUUCAGUUUCUGAUGCUGCUAGUUGUCUUGAUAUGUAUAUCAUGAUGCUUACAACAUGAGAUGGAAAAAGGAUAUUACUUAUCUCGUAAAUACACUUGGAUGUGUAAAAAAAAUGCUUACUUGCCCUUGUUUUUUGUCUUGUGUUGCAUGAGCAUUUGGGCUCAAGGUAAUUAUUUCUGUACUAAUUAAUGACAUAACCAAUUUUUUUAGGAAGUUCAAGAACUGUUUGCUGCUUGGCGACAUUAUUUUGAUGCUUCCAAUUGCAUUUUUAUACACGCACCUUCAAGCAGUCGUCUACUACUUUAUGAUGGAGAAAGAUCAUACUUUACCAAUCAGCAGUCUGCCAUUAGAAAUAUUCCUUUGACUGUUCGGCGGCCUACUUUCAGGGAAGCGAAGCGUGUAUAUAGUCAGUUGACCCAAGUAUCCUAUGAAGCAGACGAGAAGGAAACCUUACAAAGCAACCAAGAGGACAUAGUAUCAAUUCCCAAUACUAUAAGAAAUAGCAGCCCACCUUUGAGAAAAGGGAACAUGGAUGAGUUGGAUCACAAAGAUAAAGCUGAAACCUUUUCAAUUAAACAAAAUGAUAAACUCCCCAUUUCGAUUGACGGAGAGAGUGAGAAUGAGCUAUGUGAUAAAUCAACUCCUUUACAUCAAGCAGCUCAUAGUGAUGAUUCUGAAAAGGUUAUGGAACUCCUGGAACAGGGCUUGGAUCCUUGCAUCAAAGAUGAAAGGGGCCGUACUCCAUACAUGUUGGCACAUGAGAAGGAAGUCAGAAAUGCUUUUAGAAGGUUUAUGGCAUCAAACCCCGACAAAUGGGAUUGGCAUGCUGCAAAAGUGCCUAGUGCAUUGACCAAAGAAAUGGAAGAAUCACAAGCUGCAAAG
This 1588-nucleotide long non-coding RNA is filed under the name Lupinus angustifolius (narrow-leaved blue lupine). Its description in RNAcentral is "long non-coding RNA (LANG_LNC002144)". Lineage: Eukaryota; Viridiplantae; Streptophyta; Magnoliopsida; Fabales; Fabaceae. The record is from RNAcentral.